UGGAGAAUUGUGUAAGGGUAGCACGACAGACUCUGACUCUGUUUGUGAGGGUUCGAAUCCUUCUUCUCCAACCA
Molecule: transfer RNA, 74 nt
Filed under: Allofournierella massiliensis
Lineage: Bacteria; Bacillati; Bacillota; Clostridia; Eubacteriales; Oscillospiraceae
Also listed under: 12 other names
Description: tRNA-Gln
Rfam family: tRNA
About the family: Transfer RNA (tRNA) molecules are approximately 80 nucleotides in length.
Source: RNAcentral